GUGAUUCUCCAGAGGCCUCUUUCGGAAUGUGAUUGCUCACCUAAACACAUAAUGAAAAUCACUAAGCAAUUUUUUUAAAAAGCUAGCGUGUUUCAGCGACGAUGCUGCGGUGGCUCUGGUGUUGAUCCACCAGGAUUGCAGAUUGGGCUCGUUUGUGAGUUUGGCUUUGCAAUGGCGACGUGCCAACGUUGAUUUCUUGGAUGUAGGAGUGAGGUUUGACUGAUGGCAAGAUGAUGAAUCUUUUCUUUUGAUCCUAUUAGUCGUCUGAUCCUGUUAGUCGUCAAAUGGAAAAAUCCUUUUGAUUUUUUUUUAAGUGAAUGACGAGUGCAUAAAAGGCCUGGGCUUGGGGUUCUAUCGGUGGUGACCGAUCGGAAUGUUUAAGAGUGAAUGGACCAUGGUGUGUAUAGAAUUGCACUUGGGAACGGGUUUAUUCAUUCUUCAUUCUCAUUUCUUGUAAACAGGAAGAAAGACACUUCUCAUCUUUAUUUAUUCUUCUUUCCGUGUAAGAUUAAUCCAUCAUCUGUUCUUGUGCGUUUUGUUUACACCGAUCGGAUUGUGGUGGUGCCAUCUCAAAAGGGAAACGAAAUAUUUAUAUGUAGAGCAGCAUUUGAAUAGAAAGAAUAAGAGAUGAAGAAAAUGUUGGGGAACGCAGGAAAGAAGAAGAACUAGAGCCGCAGAUAUGGACGCGGACACGCGCUCCGCUACGGCCAAGCCGACCCAGAACGAAUGGAUUGGAUUGUUCAACUGAUUAGAGAGUCGAUUUUUAUCUUAACUGGAACUGACAGCCACCCAUUUCUUUACGAUGGUUAGAACAGCAGGAGGGGAAGAAAAAAAAAUUCCAUUUCAUUUUUUUCUUUUCUUUUUCUUUUUCAGAAAACCAAAUAAAGCAAAACAAAUACUCUUGUAUAAUCCUUUGAAGGGAACGCGCAGUGCUCGGCAGCAGUGACGGUUGAAUUUGUGGUGGCUGCUGCUGGUGUGGCGUCAUCUGGACAGGUCAGCAUAUAGUCUCUCGGUUGGUUUGUUUGUUCCGUCUGAAUAGAAAAGUCAGGCAAGUGUCGGAGCACAUAGAAAAGCAAAUCAAAUGAAGUGCAGCAUGACGAGAAAAAGGAUGCGCUUCCACAAAAAUAUAGAAGAGUCGAAUAGUUUUUAUUUUUUUCUGCCGAGGACCCAACAGCAGCAGCAGCAGCACUGGAAAAUGACUUGCAGUUGCUUUUUAGACAUCGACGAUAGAUUUUUGGAAAGAAAACAAAAACGGCGCAAUUUCUCUCUCUCUCUGGAGCACAAAAUCAGAGACGGGAAGAUAAAGAGAAAAAACCUAAUUUGCAUUUGUACGAUUUCACGUCCAUGACCGAUGCAUUUAGAGGUUUCGACCAUGUACAGGUAUCGUUUGGGUUUCCGUUCACAGCCGCCGACCCGAUGCCAUCGAGUCUUUGAUCAACAGGUUAGAGCUUCUUUUGUAGAUGCCGGACAAAUGUUCGGCGUAACUCUUUUAAAGAACUUCUUCUUCUUCGACUGUCGUUGCUUUGCACAAUCUCUAAAUGGACAUACAACAACAACAACAGCAUUCUUAGAAAAAGAAGGAUCGAGGAACGCCUCCAUUUCAUUUCGAACCGAAAUUCGGUUGCAAUCGUGACGCCAGACAACAAUUCGUACAAAACAAAGAAAAGGACAAACAAAAAGUGAAAAGAAAUACGAGGCAUAGCCAACAAAUUACAGAAGCAGAACAUACUGGAAGAAGAAUUCCGUUACGGGUUCAGCUGUUUUCUCUCAUCAUCUGUUUUCUUUUUUUGCCAAUCACACUUCUUGCCAAGUUUGCCAAACGCAACCCCAGUCGUCGCCACCGUGGUCCCCCCCAGCGGGGCUGGGGGUCAAAAAGUUGAGAAACGAUCAAAUGUCUGCGGGUUCAUCAGCUGUUUCAGCGCAGCAGUUUAUGUUUUCUUCUUAUUCAUUCUGCCCACCGAAAAGAAAACAGAAUAAGACGCCGUUGUUCAUUUUCCUUUUCUUUUUUUCCCCGUAAGAGUUUGCACCAUCCGUCAUUUUAUGUGACACCGUCAAAAAAUAACCAAAGUCGUCGACAAGGUCUUACAUUGUAUCUCCUUUGUAUGAUAAUCAUCCACAGUGGUGUAUAUUCGUAGAAAAACAAGAGAGAACCCGUUGCACUGCAGAUCUAUGCGCAGACUGUUACACAAAAAAAGGGAAAAAAGAAACGUCCAAAAACAGAGCCAUGGAAAAUAUAAAAGAGCGCAGAGGUGUAUAGAGAGACUCCUGAAGGACUUGUCAUUCUCUUAACGACAGAGAGAGAGAGAGAGUCAAAACUCAGAAAAGUGUAAAUAUACAUAUGGGACAGCGGCUGUGUAGAAGCGAGACAGGAGGACUCCAGGUAGCCUAUAAGUCCAGACUUCUACUCUUUUAGGAGAUAAGGUGGUGGAGAGUGACAGAAGCGAAGAUAGGAGAGCGCGUAUGGCAGUUUUCCAUCGUGACGCAAGUCCCCGAUAGAGAGGGAAUAUAAGGCAGGCGAGCGAUGUUAUAAAGAGACGAGAAGAGAGAAAGAAGAAAAAAGAUGCAGGAGAUAAACAAACUGAAAGGCAGCGAGAAAGAAAACGACAAGAAACAGACGCCAUCCGACGAGUUUCCUGUCGUUUCUCUCAUCAGAUUUUUCUGUGUUGGUCUCCUCACCGACCUGUAUCAGGUGCUCAGAUGAGAUCUUCCACUCUUGAUUUUGUCCGAUUCUUGACAAAGAAUCUGUCGGACGACAUGACGGACGGAAGCGGACUCAAUUUCGUUUGUCCAGCGAAUGGCGAAAACGCGCCAGCACAAAUAGCAACAGGCGCAGGAAGAAGAGAGGGGAGACUCCAAGGGGGGAAAAAAUAGCUCCUCCAGUUCCAUCUCUGGAAAUCUGACUCUUUUAUCUUUCCUUUUUCCUUCUUUUUUUUCUUUUUCGCUCGCUUUUUCUUUUAUUUUCUGCAACCACAUGCCUGUUACUUAUUUUCGGCUUAACAUCGAGUUUCGUGGGGUCUUGUGCGACACCAACUGCGUUCUCUUCCAUUCGUUUUUAGCGUAAGGACAAAUUCCUUGUUUACUGUAUAAUAAUCCACGAGUUAUGUCUGAAUUCAUCGACACAUAUGACUCGGCAGCGACUCGGUUUUGGCCGUCCUCGAAAUCCUCGAGAAGACUAGGGGUUGAAAAAAAAAGUUUUACUUGUCAACGACUGCUGAAGGGGAUGACUGCUGUUAUUCUUAUAGUGUCCCGCGUUUGAAUAGCGCGCUUACAACGAGCACUAGAAAGUUAUGGCUACAUGUUUCCUUGUGUAUGAGCGACAAACAGCGGCGCGUGCGGCGUCAUCGUCCGUCGUUUCCCGCAGUCAUCCUCUUCGUAACCUUUCAAACAAAAAACACUUGACAACAAACCAACAGCAAGUACAGAAACCAGUUUGAAGUUUGUUUGACAAUUGUUUUUUUUUUUUUUUUUUUUUUUUACUGGAAAAAUCCAACUUAAUCCUGUACUACAAGGACAACAUACGUACGCGGGUAAAUUGCGAGAUGUGAAAUUAGAUUUAGGCUUACACCGAUAGAUGGUAGAGAUAAAUAUUUAGUUCCCGUGUCAGAAGCCAUCUGUUAUGUGUUGCUAGAUCUGGCGAGCGACCCCACAUCUUGUGAAAACGAAAUCUAAAACCGCGAUAAGAAGAAAGAUGACAACAGGUUCGGUGAAUAGCCAUGGCAACCAAAGGGUUAUCUUUCUCUCUAUUCUCUCUAUUCUCUCUUUUCGACUAUGUAUAUACAUGUACAUAAUACUGAUGGUUUUGAAGUCGACCAGAUCGUUCGUCUUAAUCUUUUCUACUGACACUUGCAACUGUCAUUUCUGUGUGAACCCUUGAUCGUUCCUUGUCACUCGAGGAUUCCUUUGCUAUGACAGAUUUCACGAAAACAAUAACAAGAGAAUGGAUAGGUACGUAUCGAACUAGACGCUCACUACGUCUAUCAAUAUAGUGAAUCAUUUGCAUAUGUCGGUUUUCCGAGUGUUAAUCAGUGUCGACUAGUGUAGCAAUCGAAACGAACGGCUCCAACGAGGACCGGUUACUAUCCUUAUCUGUCGAUGAAGAAGACGGUCGAAAAGAGACGGCCCAGUUGAUCAGAAAGGUGUACUGCUUGCUGUCGUUGCGUAUCUUGUGCUUGACGGUGAUAGAGUGCUUCGCCAUCUACGACGAAUCAAUCAGUUCCUUCUUUUCGGGAUCCGGCGGCGGAGUUGUCAUCUUCAUGAUCUGGUUAAUUCAGUUCAUUCUAUCGGGUUACACAUCGCUAUCGGACCGUUUGGGACCGGACAAGCCGUCCAAUCAGAAACGAUUCAUCGCCUUAAACGUCAUGGAAGGUCUGGUUUGUGCCGGAGCCGCUUCCAAUCUUUACCACUCAAACAGCAUUCAGCUCGUCGAUGUUUUGCUGCUGAAUGGUUCGUUGGGAAUCUUCCACUCGGGUCACGCGCUCUUCUUCAUGAAUCCCUGGUUGCUCUACCACGGACUUUACGGCGUCGUUUACGCUGCGCUGAGCGUCGGUAUUCCAAUUUUGUUGGCGUUCAAUUUGAACUCGUCAUACGCAGCUUCCGGUAGCGAUCUGUCAGUCGAAGAUGAUCCAUCGGCCAGGAGCACCGAUUGGAAGUCUAUUUCGUGGGUUGAAAUCGCUUGCCUCGGUUGGCUGUGCUGUUUGUGGUAUUCGCUAGAGACGCACGCCGUCGUCACCAAGAGGCAUCGCUUCCGCUUUGAGCGACACCAGGACUGUUUUUUCGUCAUGUUGUGUUUCGCUUACGCCGAUGUUUGGAAUGUUUUCGCCAAGUUCAGGUUAUUCUUCGUGACGAAAUCGAGUGAAACGGAGGCCCAGACGGACCAAGAAGAGUAGCGAGCGACACCCCGCCGUGCGGACGCUGAACGGCAACUUGCUGGCUGACUUGCGACUCUUUUCAUCCGCGUCGCUUUGUCUUCCCGUCUGGAUUCUUCAAAUGGUUUCUUUGCCCUUACGACGCUGUGUACUAAUAAUGCACGCUCUCACUAAAAACACACCGGAAGGAACUCGCACGUGAUCCAGGAUCGGAAAUCGAUCAACCAGCAGUCGGAACUCGUGCCGUUUCCCAUUUCCCGACAAUUCGAAAUAUGCCCAGUCUUAGCACCGAGCAUUCCAGGACCCCGGAGCCAUUAAUCAAGGCGUUCUUUUCUAUUUUAGCUCAUUAUCUCUGACUAUACAAGUAUAGAUGUAUUCUCUUCUAGUUGGAUAAGGUUUAUGUUGGCUUACUAACAAUCUAUAGGGAUUCCAGGGCUUUUUGCCUAAUAAUGUCGAACAGCAUCGAUCCGAUACUGAAAUCGAGUUUUACCUUCAUGCCAAAUGCAUUUGUGAGCAUCGUGAGUUUACUUUGGGUUUUUCUUUAUCAUCCAUCUCUUGGGUCGAUUAAAAUUAGUAAAGUGCGAUUUAAAAACAGAUUUUUCUUGAGAUUUAUGUAAUUUUUCCGCGUGAAAAUUCGGGAGUGAACUUUAGAUGCGCUCUCUAGUUCUCAAGCUUUUGUGAGUAGUGAACGAAUGCUCCAUCUAGCGAGGGAAUUUAUGUUUGCUUGGUCGAUGGUUUCGGUUCAACAACUGAAAUGCGGGAAAAUCCACCUAGCAUAGCAUGUAAAGUAACAAACCAAAAAUAUUUCGUGUACCGUUUCGUUUUGAUUUUUGUUUGCAAUUGUAAAGAGUAGUUCACUGUUCAACGGUUAGUGAUAGACGCAAGAAUAGUGAAGAGGCUGAUUGUUAAGUGUGGCAGUCAUUGUUGGCAAAAAAACCCUGCGGAAACAAAACAUAAGAAAUCGACCAUUUUCUAAAAUCUGACAUUCUCGUUACGAACGAAACCAUUUGAAAUUUACACUGUUCAGACCACCGGAAGUUUCUGAACUUCCAAGACGAGGGAAUGGCUAUUUAAGGAACACUAAUAUUGGCUAUUUGCGUAAAAGUUGAGUGUCUGUUCAAAUCUGUGUUGUAAUCGUCGGUUUUACAACUAAGGGAAAUGUGAAUAGCGAUUAGUGUUUUACACCUUUGGUAUUGCCGCGUUAUUCAUUUAUAAAUAAUUCUCGCGGUCCGCUGGUUAUAUAAGCUGAAGGAAACGCCAGUACGCGCACUUCUUUGCACGACAGUUCUUGACCUGACGGAUACUGGAACUCAGAUAACAGGCAUGAUGGUGAAUAAGAUGUUACUGUCGAUAAAUUAUCUAUCGACUUUCAUGUUGGUUAUCUUGAUUUUGAGCAGCUCUGUUGCAUCACAUCCUGCAAUAUCUGAAACUCCAUCUGAUAAAACGGAAAAUAACAAUUCGGACAAGGAGACUUCCCCUGAAGCACCUGUAUCCAACAGAGCAUACACUUCUUCGACAAAUUCCAACAACUUGGUCAACAGUUGGAGGAACCUACUGCCGAGUCAUUUUGGGGAAUUCUUCGAGGUCUUCGUCUUUUUCAUGGAACUGAAAUGGCACUACGAAAUUGAAGAGGCCAUAGCGGCAGUCGGAUCAAGGAUCAAUGACGAUCAUUAUCCCAAAGAGAUCGAUGCUACCAAGUCAAUCAGUGUUGAAGCUGAAGAUGUCGAUGACAAAGUUAUUGAACAUUUUCUCGAUCGAACAAAUUAUCUGAAAUAUUAUUUGAACGCCAUGGCACCAGUAUAUUACGGCUACCGUAGGAAGUCUGAAAUAUCGCGAUCGUAAAAUCUCGUUUUCCAUCCUACGCCAAAAUACUUACAGUUUUGCACAUGAAUUUUAAUUUAUUUCAUGCUAUUAAUUGUGGUUGGCUUGCGUUAUUCUUGAUGCUACUGACAAUUAUUGUAAUUUCAAAUAUAUGGGAGAAUAAGAAUAUACAUAUGGAAACUGGG
Daphnia pulex (common water flea) is the source of this 6871-nucleotide long non-coding RNA. RefSeq lists it as uncharacterized. The record is from RefSeq and is a predicted model, not a curated record. NCBI's taxonomy places the organism in Eukaryota, Metazoa, Arthropoda, Branchiopoda, Diplostraca, Daphniidae. The transcript has 5 exons.